GCCGGGUAACGCCCGGCGGGGGCGACCCUAGGGACAGUGCCACAGACAGCAAACCGCCGGCCCAGGUUGCGGUCCCUUCGCGGGACGGACCGUCGGCAAGGGUGAAAGGGUGCGGUAAGAGCGCACCGCGUUCCCGGCAACGGGGACGGCACGGUAAACCCCACCGGGAGCAAGACCAAGUAGGGACGGCACGCCACUUUCGUUCCUUUGGGAGCGAAAUAGGCAGGCGGGUUUCCGCGCCGCCGUCCGGGUCGGUCGCGUGAGGCGUUCGGUAACGGGCGUCCCAGAUGAAUGGCCAUCCAUCGCAUCGUCCGCCUUUGGCGGGCGGAGCGGGGACAGAACCCGGCUUACAGGCCGUCUGGCACC
This 366-nucleotide RNase P RNA is filed under the name Rhodospirillales bacterium. RNAcentral's name for it is "partial RNase P RNA component class A". It matches the Rfam family "Bacterial RNase P class A", at positions 73 to 367 of the family's 367-position model. Rfam says of the family: Ribonuclease P (RNase P) is a ubiquitous endoribonuclease, found in archaea, bacteria and eukarya as well as chloroplasts and mitochondria. Its best characterised activity is the generation of mature 5'-ends of tRNAs by cleaving the 5'-leader elements of precursor-tRNAs. Cellular RNase Ps are ribonucleoproteins. Lineage: Bacteria; Pseudomonadati; Pseudomonadota; Alphaproteobacteria; Rhodospirillales. The record is from RNAcentral.